RNAcentral lists this ribosomal RNA (464 nucleotides) under uncultured bacterium. Its description in RNAcentral is "partial 16S ribosomal RNA". It matches the Rfam family "Bacterial small subunit ribosomal RNA", at positions 28 to 507 of the family's 1533-position model. The record is from RNAcentral.
GACGAACGCUGGCGGCGUGCUUAACACAUGCAAGUCGAACGGAAAGGCCCCCUUGUGGGGUACUCGAGUGGCGAACGGGUGAGUAACACGUGAGUAACCUACCCUUGACUUUGGGAUAACUUCAGGAAACUGGGGCUAAUACCGGAUAGGAGCUCCUGCUGCAUGGUGGGGGUUGAAAGUUUCGGCGGUUGGGGAUGGACUCGCGGCUUAUCAGCUUGUUGGUGGGGUAGUGGCUCACCAAGGCUUUGACGGGUAGCCGGCCUGAGAGGGUGACCGGCCACAUUGGGACUGAGAUACGGCCCAGACUCCUACGGGAGGCAGCAGUGGGGAAUAUUGCACAAUGGGCGGAAGCCUGAUGCAGCAACGCCGCGUGCGGGAUGACGGCCUUCGGGUUGUAAACCGCUUUCGCCUGUGACGAAGCGUGAGUGACGGUAAUGGGUAAAGAAGCACCGGCUAACUACGUG